This 253-nucleotide ribosomal RNA is filed under the name uncultured bacterium. Its description in RNAcentral is "partial 16S ribosomal RNA". It matches the Rfam family "Bacterial small subunit ribosomal RNA", at positions 524 to 776 of the family's 1533-position model. The record is from RNAcentral.
UACGUAGGGGGCAAGCGUUGUCCGGAUUUAUUGGGCGUAAAGAGCGUGUAGGCGGCUUUACAGGUCCGUUGUGAAAACUCGAGGCUCAACCUCGAGACGCCGGUGGAAACCGUAAGGCUAGAGUCCGGAAGAGGAGAGUGGAAUUCCUGGUGUAGCGGUGAAAUGCGCAGAUAUCAGGAAGAACACCAAUGGCGAAGGCAGCUCACUGGGACGGUAUUGACGCUGAGACGCGAAAGCGUGGGGAGCAAACAGG